RNAcentral lists this small nuclear RNA (104 nucleotides) under Cynoglossus semilaevis (tongue sole). RNAcentral's name for it is "U5 spliceosomal RNA (ENSCSEG00000006495.1)". It matches the Rfam family "U5 spliceosomal RNA". Rfam says of the family: U5 RNA is a component of both types of known spliceosome. The precise function of this molecule is unknown, though it is known that the 5' loop is required for splice site selection and p220 binding, and that both the 3' stem-loop and the Sm site are important for Sm protein binding and cap methylation. The record is from RNAcentral. Lineage: Eukaryota; Metazoa; Chordata; Actinopteri; Pleuronectiformes; Cynoglossidae.
CACUAUUGUUUCUCUAUAGAUCGUAUAAAUCUUUCGCCUUUUACUAAAGAUUUCCGUGGAACAACAUGGGUCUUUCUCAGUUAUGGUUCCACUGGUAUAGUGGU